CCUACGGGAGGCAGCAGUGAGGAAUAUUGGUCAAUGGGCGAGAGUCUGAACCAGCCAAGUAGCGUGAAGGAUGACUGCCCUAUGGGUUGUAAACUUCUUUUAUAUGGGAAUAAAAUGUUCCACGUGUGGGAUUUUGUAUGUACCAUAUGAAUAAGGAUCGGCUAACUCCGUGCCAGCAGCCGCGGUAAUACGGAGGAUCCGAGCGUUAUCCGGAUUUAUUGGGUUUAAAGGGAGCGUAGGUGGAUUGUUAAGUCAGUUGUGAAAGUUUGCGGCUCAACCGUAAAAUUGCAGUUGAAACUGGCAGUCUUGAGUACAGUAGAGGUGGGCGGAAUUCGUGGUGUAGCGGUGAAAUGCUUAGAUAUCACGAAGAACUCCGAGUGCGAAGGCAGUUCACUGGACUGCAACUGACACUGAGGCUCGAAAGUGUGGGUAUCAAACAGGAUUAGAUACCCCAGUAGUC
RNAcentral lists this ribosomal RNA (460 nucleotides) under uncultured bacterium. RNAcentral's name for it is "partial 16S ribosomal RNA". It matches the Rfam family "Bacterial small subunit ribosomal RNA", at positions 338 to 795 of the family's 1533-position model. The record is from RNAcentral.